CCUACGGGUGGCAGCAGUGAGGAAUAUUGGUCAAUGGCCGGAAGGCUGAACCAGUCAAGCCGCGUGAGGGAGGAAGGCGCAGAGCGUCGCAGACCUCUUUUGUCGGGGGACAAAAGGCCGGACUCGUCCGGUCCUGAGGGUACCCGGAGAAAUAGCAUCGGCUAACUCCGUGCCAGCAGCCGCGGUAAUACGGAGGAUGCGAACGUUAUCCGGAUUCGUUGGGUUUAAAGGGUGCGCAGGCGGGUCUUUAAGCCGGCGGUGAAAUCGCGGGGCUCACCCCCGCCGAGCGGAGGGAACUGGGGGCCUUGAGUGCGGCGGGGGGAAGCGGAAUGCGCGGUGUAGCAGUGAAAUGCAUAGAUAUCGCGCAGAACCCCGAUGGCGAAGGCAGCGUGCCGUGCCGCCACUGACGCUGAGGCACGAAAGCACGGGGAGCGAACAGGAUUAGAUACCCGAGUAGUC
Molecule: ribosomal RNA, 459 nt
Filed under: uncultured bacterium
Lineage: Bacteria
Description: partial 16S ribosomal RNA
Rfam family: Bacterial small subunit ribosomal RNA
Source: RNAcentral